Molecule: ribosomal RNA, 1026 nt
Filed under: Arxiella sp.
Lineage: Eukaryota; Fungi; Ascomycota; Dothideomycetes; Muyocopronales; Muyocopronaceae
Description: SSU rRNA
Rfam family: Eukaryotic small subunit ribosomal RNA
Source: RNAcentral
CUCAUACUGUGAAACUGCGAAUGGCUCAUUAAAUCAGUUAUCGUUUAUUUGAUAGUACCUUACUACAUGGAUACCCGUGGUAAUUCUAGAGCUAAUACAUGCUUAAAACCCCGACUUCGGAAGGGGUGUAUUUAUUAGAUAAAAAACCAAUGCCCUUCGGGGCUGCUUGGUGAUUCAUAAUAACUAAACGAAUCGCAUGGCCUUGAGCCGGCGAUGGUUCAUUCAAAUUUCUGCCCUAUCAACUUUCGAUGGUAGGGUCUUGGCCUACCAUGGUAUCAACGGGUAACGGGGAAUUAGGGUUCGAUUCCGGAGAGGGAGCCUGAGAAACGGCUACCACAUCCAAGGAAGGCAGCAGGCGCGCAAAUUACCCAAUCCCGACGCGGGGAGGUAGUGACAAUAAAUACUGAUACAGGGCUCUUUUGGGUCUUGUAAUUGGAAUGAGUACAAUUUAAACCCCUUAACGAGGAACAAUUGGAGGGCAAGUCUGGUGCCAGCAGCCGCGGUAAUUCCAGCUCCAAUAGCGUAUAUUAAAGUUGUUGCAGUUAAAAAGCUCGUAGUUGAACCUUGGGCCAGGCUGGCCGGUCCGCCUAACCGCGUGUACUGGUCCGGCCGGGUCCUUUCCUCUGGGGAGCCGCAUGCCCUUUACUGGGCGUGUCGGGGAACCAGGACUUUUACUGUGAAAAAAUUAGAGUGUUCAAAGCAGGCCUUUGCUCGGAUACAUUAGCAUGGAAUAAUAGAAUAGGACGUGCGGUCCUAUUUUGUUGGUUUCUAGAACCGCCGUAAUGAUUAAUAGGGACAGUCGGGGGCAUCAGUAUUCAGACGCGAGAGGUGAAAUUCUUAGACCGUCUGAAGACUAACUACUGCGAAAGCAUUUGCCAAGGAUGUUUUCAUUAAUCAGUGAACGAAAGUUGGGGGAUCGAAGACGAUCAGAUACCGUCGUAGUCUCAACCGUAAACUAUGCCGACUAGGGAUCGGGCGACGUUCUAAUUAUGACUCGCCCGGCACCUUACGAGAAAUCAAAGUUUU